CAAGAAUCAGUAAUUUCUAUUCAGCAAAGCCACCAAAUCAGAGAGCAGUGCAGAUCUUAUUGGAGGAGAGCCUUCAACAGCAACUAAUCCUGUCGUAUUGAAAGAAAAUUGUAAAUGUUCUCUGCAGAAAUUGCCUGCCCAUUGCAGCUAAUCGAGCCCACUUGGCGCUCUCACAUCCACACACAGCACGCAGCACCCAGACCCACAGCCGCACAGCCACCAGCACUGUGAGAUGCUCACCUGGGUGCCCUGCUCUCCUCCCUGCCACCACCCCCAUGAAGGCGGCAGCUUGUCCUCUUUUCCUUAGGAGCACUGGGGGAAAUAUGAAUAAUCAUCAGCUCACUUACGGGUCCCAGCAUCCGCUAUUUUUAAUUUCUCCAGUUUUGUCUAAACCGUUAAGCUCGGUUUGAUAGCUCCCUGUAUAUAUGUGUGUGCAUGUAUGUGUGUGCAUACAUAUAUAUGUAAUUGAAAGCUGAACUUGGCUGAGCUGAAGCAGGCUCCCAAGGGCCAGUGUCACGGAGAGUGCGGGGUGUGUGUGUGCGUGUGUGUGUGCCUGCGCAUGUGGGAGGGAGAGAGCGAGCGAGGGAGAGACAAAAACUCCAUCAACCCGGACAAUACCACCUCUCGUUUAAUGCUUCCCAACUGUUAUUCUUUCCCCUCAUUAUCACAGCACCAAGUAAUCUGUCUUUCCCCCCCUCCAACCCCCCUCCCUCCUCUUGGAAGAUAUGGAAGAGAAAGAUAAAGCGGCUGCCUGCGGGCGCUGAUGCGCGCAGCUCGCAUGCCUCCGCCGCCAGAGCCGGGGCCGCUCCGCAGCCGCCGCUCGCAGAGAGCCGCUUGCCGCGGGAUGGGAUGCAACUUCUGGUGAUUGGAUCACAGGAGCAGUUACCAAGUGCGUGGGAGGACAACAACUGUUAACCAGAAGCAGCCUUCAAGGGCAAACAGCUCUGAUCCAGGCUCUGGAGGAAGGAGGAGAGACGAUCCCCCGAUGAGGUAAAUCUUCAAAGGGUAUCAUGAAGACUAUUCUAGGCAACAGUGAAGUGCUUCCCACCCACCUCCCAACAGCUGAACAUCUUUUUGCCUCAGUUUUCAGCUUCUAGACCAGAAGGAAACAUAAACUGAUUAAUUUUUUCAUUGUUAUUGAGGUGCUGCUUAUGAACUCCUUUGUGUAACUUUUUAGAAACAAAACUACUGAAGGAAAUGUAUAGCGUAUGAGUUACAGUAAACAGACAACAUGGGUAAAAUACUGGUAAUCCUGUGAAAGUUGAGAUGGAGAGAGAAGAGUGGAAGUAGUCACACAGAGCUACUCUACUACCUUUUUGCAACUACUAUGGUUUCUGUGGAGAAUGACAAUGGAAGGAUACCCUCCAACUGAGGUAAAUCAAAGAACUCAAGCAUCUUUUUUAGAGCUUUCAUGGUAAACAGCUGGUGGCUUAGGAAAAACUGUGAUCGAUUUUUAUUAGCAAUACGAAUACCGGUCAUCUUCCAUUCGAAGCAGCUCUUGGCAGCUGUUUCUAAAUAUUAUGCAAAUUAUUGGGCAGACUGAGCAAAAGAGAGGGUGGAAUUCAGCCUGGUGGUAGCUCAUUUCCUCCAGCAGUGCUCUCCUGAUCACCAGAAUACAUGGGAUUAGAUUAAUAUCAAAGAAAACUGUAUUUUGAGAAAAUAACUGAAGUUUACCAUUUGGUUUUCUCCUGCAUUGGUGACUUCUUGGAGAUAUUCAGUAAAAUCAGACAGAUUGUACUCAAAGAUUGAAAUAGGAUGGAGAGAACCCAAGUUCAGAUCCCUGCUGCCGUGAAAUUUGCUUUGUACCAAGCACAGCAAGCUGUAAUGUCAGUAUCCAUCAGGCUAUCCAUUUGGCAAUUCUGCACAUUCCUUAUACGUACAAAACACAAGUUUUGAGUAAAAGAGAACACAAACC
Numida meleagris (helmeted guineafowl) is the source of this 1915-nucleotide long non-coding RNA. NCBI's taxonomy places the organism in Eukaryota, Metazoa, Chordata, Aves, Galliformes, Numididae. The record is from Ensembl.